CUAUCUCAUUCAAGUAUCUUCAGGGGUACACACUUAAAUCUCACAUAAAUUGCUUGAAAAAUAUCGUUGCUCUUUUGCUCUCAAUAUAGUUUAACUUCUGCGUAUGUGCUAUACCUAUAAAGAGAACAACCACAGUUAUUUAUUGAUUGAGUAAUCAGAGUUUGAUUGAUACUCAAUUACUGAUCUUCCAUCGAAGUUGAGUCUUUGAAAAAUACAAACUCCAACCCUAUCCUUGAUCCUGAUUCUGUUCUCUUUCCAUAAGAAGACUUUCUCUCCUUAUCCAAUAUGCAACCUUUUUGAUAAGGUAAGGAGAUAUUUUUGCUUGAUCCUUGAGACUUAUCUCAUUCACGUGCAUCUCACAUGUAUGGGUUGAUAAACACUAUGUCUCGCAUGAUGGACCUAGUCCAUGACUGAGUUCAUUUGUCAUUCUUCAAAACUUCAUUUGAUCUUGGGCCAACAAGUUCCCAUUUUUUGAUGACGACAAAAUCUGUGCUUUUACUGAUAAGAGAUCCUGUAGAAAUCAGCUUAAUCAUCAAUACUUUAACUUGGAAAAGUCAGAAAUUUUAAAUUAUCAUCAAGGAAAAUUUUAAUUUAUCAUCAAGGACCAGGUUUAAUCAGGUUAUAAAUAUCACUUUAUUUUCAAAUACAAAGUAAAGCACAUUAUCUCUUCCCUAUUUUGGCAUCAUCAAAAAGUUGCAUAUAUUGUGAAUCCCUGAUUUUAAUCAUUACUUAUGGCCACCAGGGCAACUGCAAGUGAAAACAUGGUUCAAUUUAUCAACAAUCAAUUAAUAAAAAUUAACUAUCAAGAUCAGAACUUCAUAUAACAAGAGAAAAAGCAAAUUUUCCUUGAUUAGGUUAUGUUUCCACCAACAUACCAAAAAAAGAAAGAAAAACUUCCAAACAUGAGCAAUAAAAUAGAAAAAGUCCC
Molecule: long non-coding RNA, 928 nt
Filed under: Nicotiana benthamiana
Lineage: Eukaryota; Viridiplantae; Streptophyta; Magnoliopsida; Solanales; Solanaceae
Description: long non-coding RNA (NBEN_LNC002639)
Source: RNAcentral